Phrynosoma platyrhinos (Desert horned lizard) is the source of this 72-nucleotide non-coding RNA. NCBI's taxonomy places the organism in Eukaryota, Metazoa, Chordata, Lepidosauria, Squamata, Phrynosomatidae. The record is from the annotation of a GenBank genome assembly.
GACUGUGUGGUGUAGUGGUUUGAGUGUUGGACUACGUCUCUGGAGACCAGGGUUCGAUUCUCAGCUCGCUCA